RNAcentral lists this ribosomal RNA (274 nucleotides) under uncultured bacterium. RNAcentral's name for it is "partial 16S ribosomal RNA". It matches the Rfam family "Bacterial small subunit ribosomal RNA", at positions 523 to 796 of the family's 1533-position model. The record is from RNAcentral.
AUACAGGGGGUGCGAGCGUUAAUCGGAAUUACUGGGCGUAAAGAGUACGUAGGCGGUUGCUUAAGUCAGAUGUGAAAGCCCCGGGCUCAACCUGGGAACUGCAUUUGAAACUGAGUGACUAGAGUUUAAGAGAGGGGAGUAGAAUUCCGGGUGUAGCGGUGAAAUGCGUAGAGAUCCGGAAGAAUACCAGUGGCGAAGGCGGCUCCCUGGCUUAAAACUGACGCUGAGGUACGAAAGCGUGGGUAGCAAACAGGAUUAGAAACCCCAGUAGUCC